This 253-nucleotide ribosomal RNA is filed under the name uncultured bacterium. RNAcentral's name for it is "partial 16S ribosomal RNA". It matches the Rfam family "Bacterial small subunit ribosomal RNA", at positions 524 to 776 of the family's 1533-position model. The record is from RNAcentral.
UACGGAGGAUCCAAGCGUUAUCCGGAAUCAUUGGGCUUAAAGGGUCCGUAGGCGGGUCAAUCAGUCAGUGGUGAAAGUCUGCAGCUUAACUGUAGAAUUGCCAUUGAUACUGUUGACCUUGAGUAAUUAUGAAGUGGUUAGAAUAUGUAGUGUAGCGGUGAAAUGCAUAGAUAUUACAUAGAAUACCGAUUGCGAAGGCAGAUCACUAAUAAUUUACUGACGCUGAGGGACGAAAGCGUAGGUAGCGAACAGG